UUGGAGGGCAAGUCUGGUGCCAGCAGCCGCGGUAAUUCCAGCUCCAAUAGCGUAUAUUAAAGUUGUUGCAGUUAAAAAGCUCGUAGUUGAAUUUCGAGAUCAAUUUGUCGGUCGUGCCUCGGUACGUACUGGCAUUAUUGAUUUCUCCCUUCUGAAGAACCGCGAUGUCAUUAAUUUGGUGUCGUGGGGAAUCAGGGCUGUUACUUUGAAAAAAUUAGAGUGUUUAAAGCAGGCGCACGCUUGAAUACAUUAGCAUGGAAUAAUGAAAUAGGACGUUUGAUUCUAUUUUGUUGGUUUCUAGGAUCGACGUAAUGACUAAUAGGGAUAGUCGGGGGCAUUAGUAUUCAAUUGUCAGAGGUGAAAUCCUUGGAUUUAUUGAAGACUAACUACUGCGAAAGCAUUUGCCAAGGAUGUUUUCAUUAAUCAAGAACGAAAGUUAGGGGAUCGAAGACGAUCAGAUACCGUCGUAGUCUUAACCAUAAACUAUGCCGACUAGGGAUCGGAUGAUGUUAAUUUUUUAAUGACUCAUUCGGCGCCUUACGGGAAACCAAAGUGUUUGGGUUC
This 564-nucleotide ribosomal RNA is filed under the name uncultured Glomeromycotina. RNAcentral describes it as "SSU rRNA". It matches the Rfam family "Eukaryotic small subunit ribosomal RNA", at positions 548 to 1114 of the family's 1831-position model. The record is from RNAcentral. Lineage: Eukaryota; Fungi; Glomeromycota.